Non-coding RNA from Chelonoidis abingdonii (Abingdon island giant tortoise), 2357 nucleotides. The record is from RefSeq and is a predicted model, not a curated record. Lineage: Eukaryota; Metazoa; Chordata; Testudines; Testudinidae.
UGGGGGUUCAGGGAGCUUAGACCCCAGCUUGGGGUUCCCUGCAUUGCACCACCCAGCCCAAACUGAAACUAAAAAUUCCUCUAGCCGCUUCCCCUCCCCGCUCCUCUUCUCCUUUGUUCAGUCUCCUGGGCAGAAGGUGUCACUUCUCCCACCUCCGGCUCAGGUAGCUUCCUUCUCAUCCCCAAUGUAACUCCCCUGCAACAUUCCCAGGUCAAAUCCUCCCUGCUCCGUCACACGAGGUCACUCCCCUUCAUCCCCAUGAUGCUGCCCUGAUGCUGUGGCAGAAUCUACCAGGGCCAUCACUGGGACCUGGAAACUCAAGACAUUCAUUAGGAACAGGGCAGACGUGUUGAGUUGUUGCCAGCAAGUGACUGAGGUCCCCAGUCCAAAAUGAGCAGCACCUGAUACUCUCUAUGGUCAAAGACCAUAGAAUCGUAGGACUGGAAGAGAUAUCAAGAGGUCUUCUAGUCCAGUAAAUCCCAUGGCCAACUGUGGGACCCUUGAGGCUCCUUACUGGCCAAGCUGCCAUUUGCCACCUCUUGCCCCAUUGGUCGAGGGGACUCUGGCUGCCUGCUACUGAAGUGGAGCAAUGGAACGCAGAUAUAAGUGUGGGCUGGCCCCUUGGAGGCUAGCUGCACUGAGCAGAGGGCCACCCAAGUCACCUCACUCCAUGCGGGUGGUGGUUAGUCACUUGGAGAUGGCUUGCAUGAGCCAGCGUACCACCAGAGUGGCCAUGGGCUCAUAACAAAACUAUCCCAGGAGCUUGCCACUUAAGACAUGAGACAACAAAGGGCUGCACCAAAGAGACAGGGGAGUACAGGGAAACAGUGGUCAGCAUGGAAAGUAGCAGCCACAGCACAGCAGCUGCCUAACCACUGUCAAGUCUUUCUUGUAGACCUCGCUGCAGAGGAAGAGCCUGCAGGAGGAAAGACCUUGCAGCUGUUUUAUGGGGAGCUACUCCCAUGUUAGAGGGGUUGCAUGGGAGGAAGUGUGUGUAUGCCAAGAUGGGGUUUCCUGGAGCCACAGGCUCAAUUUCUGCCUCCAGGACACAGCUCUAUAAUAAAAACAGCCGAAGCGCUUUUCAUCACUAGCUUUUAAAGUGCUUUAUAGAGGAGGUCAACAUCGUCAUCAUCAUCCCCAUUUCACUGGGGAAACUGAGGAACAAAGCAUUGGCAUGAUUUACCUGAGGUCACCUAGCAGGUCAGUGGCAGAGCUGUGCGUAGAGCCCAGGUCUCGUAAGUUCCAGUCCAGUGCUCGCUCUCUAGUCUCUCCUUCACCCCCUCUGGUGUAGUGGGGCGAGGCCAUGCUUGGGGCAGCCACUCAGGGUUAGUGCUGCAGUAGCGCUCGUUGCUUUAGGACUGCUCCAGUCCCCCUGCUGCAGCACAACCCACCUCUGUGCUGCUACACCAGUAAUCCUGCUCCCAGUGCACCCUCGUCCCCAUUCCAUAUGCCGCUAACUACCCUGUGGCACAUCCCCUCCCUGGCCCCCUGUCAUUUGGGAAGGGAGAGCAAGGAGCGAUGGUAUCUGAGGCUGACUGCAGACAAGAGGGAGACCAUGGAUCUGAAGCUGUUGGAAGAGCCACUCUCCUGCCAGAGUUUCCCGAAAUAGCAGGUCACUGAUAGUCGACCAGCCUGCAUGCUGGCCCCAUAUGGUUUCCCCCCAGUGACUACCGCACACCCAUCUGUCCCAACUCCCCAGCUGCUUCCCUUGCUUGGCCACCCUCCUUCCCUGGCUCAGGUUUGGUUGGGGAGGAGAGACCUUGGCAGCAGUAGAGAACGGAAGUAGCUGCAUAAUCCAUACUCAGUCAGGUUGGCUUGUUGCAAACGGAAAAGAUGAAAUACAAAAUGUUGAGGUUCAAAUAGCUUGUAUAAUGCACUGACUGAAGCGAUAAGGGUUAUGCCUUCAAAAUACUGGAGUUACGAAUUUCUUUAAGUUACAGAAGAGCAAAAAGAAGGGAGACGCUCUGAGUAGAGUAUCAAGAAUGGGCAAUUUUCAAAUUUUUUUAAUUAGAUAAUUUUUCAAAAAGUGAACAUCCUAGAGUCUGCUUCUAUCCACAACCAUUGCUAUGCAAACUUGGAGAUGAAAACACUUUCGUUUUAUUGCCAGAAAGUACAGAAACUUCUGUUUUAAGGGAAAUCUCAACAGAGGCUACAAUAGAAGUUGUGUCCAUGAUGCAUGUGUUCUCUCUCUCUCUGUUCCCCCUAGCCCUGAGUGCAGACUUCAGAACUCUGUAUAUUGCUUCAGAGAUCCUGGCCGCAGUGGAUUUUUUCCUUUCCUUUGGUCUUAAUAUGUUCUUGUAUGGGAUCUUGCCAUACUUGACUCACCUGGCAAAAUAAAACUAGACUAUAAAGCAGCA